This 397-nucleotide ribosomal RNA is filed under the name uncultured bacterium. Its description in RNAcentral is "partial 16S ribosomal RNA". It matches the Rfam family "Bacterial small subunit ribosomal RNA", at positions 523 to 918 of the family's 1533-position model. The record is from RNAcentral.
AUACGUAGGGGGCGAGCGUUGUCCGGAAUGAUUGGGCGUAAAGGGCGCGUAGGCGGCUUUGCAAGUCAGUAGUGGAAGUCCAUUUUUCACGGAUGGAAGUGCUACAGAAACUGCGGAGCUUGAGUGCAGGAGAGGUUAUCGGAAUUCCCGGUGUAGCGGUGAAAUGCGUAGAGAUCGGGAGGAACACCAAUGGCGAAGGCGGGUAACUGGACUGCAGCUGACGCUGAGGCGCGAAAGUGUGGGGAGCAAACAGGAUUAGAUACCCUGGUAGUCCACACUGUAAACGAUGAAUGCUAGGUGUAGGAGGUAUCGACCCCUUCUGUGCCGCAGUAAACACAGUAAGCAUUCCGCCUGGGGAGUACGGUCGCAAGAUUAAAACUCAAAGGAAUUGACGGGG